RNAcentral lists this ribosomal RNA (414 nucleotides) under Babesia odocoilei. RNAcentral's name for it is "SSU rRNA". It matches the Rfam family "Eukaryotic small subunit ribosomal RNA", at positions 559 to 1024 of the family's 1831-position model. Lineage: Eukaryota; Apicomplexa; Aconoidasida; Piroplasmida; Babesiidae. The record is from RNAcentral.
GUCUGGUGCCAGCAGCCGCGGUAAUUCCAGCUCCAAUAGCGUAUAUUAAACUUGUUGCAGUUAAAAAGCUCGUAGUUGAAUUUCUGCGUCACCGUAUUUUGACUUUUGUCGACUGUCGGUUUCGCUUUUGGGAUUUAUCCCUUUUUACUUUGAGAAAAUUAGAGUGUUUCAAGCAGACUUUUGUCUUGAAUACUUCAGCAUGGAAUAAUAGAGUAGGACUUUGGUUCUAUUUUGUUGGUUUGUGAACCUUAGUAAUGGUUAAUAGGAACGGUUGGGGGCAUUCGUAUUUAACUGUCAGAGGUGAAAUUCUUAGAUUUGUUAAAGACGAACUACUGCGAAAGCAUUUGCCAAGGACGUUUUCAUUAAUCAAGAACGAAAGUUAGGGGAUCGAAGACGAUCAGAUACCGUCGUAGU